Molecule: long non-coding RNA, 980 nt
Organism: Phyllopteryx taeniolatus (common seadragon)
Lineage: Eukaryota; Metazoa; Chordata; Actinopteri; Syngnathiformes; Syngnathidae
Exons: 3
Source: RefSeq, a predicted model, not a curated record
AUAGAACAGUGGUGAACCUUCCCAGGAGUGGCCGGCCGACCAAAAUUACCCCAAGAGCGCAGCGCGGACUCAUCCAAGAGGUCACAAAAGACCGCACAACAACAUCCAAAGAACUGCAGGCCUCGCUUGCCUAAGUUAAGAAACCACAGCCCUAGUGUCUUACUGCCCCAAAAAGGGAAAAGAUGUUGUGCUCAUGAGCACUGCAAAAAACUGCUGAAAUCAGCACGAGAGGACCAAAAAACCAAGCAUGAUCCUGGAUUACUUGAACAAAGUAACACGGUCCUACAGCACCAAGCGAAUGACUGCGCGCUGGCCAUUGGUCAUCUUUCAUAACAUGAUCAAUGUAUCAGCGUAUGAUGGGUUUGUCAUCUGGACUGAGAUCUUUCCUGACUGGAAUGUCUCAAAGCUGUACAAGAGGCGCAUCUUUCUCGAUGAGCUGAGGAAGGCACCUGUGACACCGCCCAUCCAACGGAGGCAGCACUUUCCAAGGACCGUAGCCGCUGCAGCCACAUUGAGGGAGAUCCGGAGGACUGCACCUAGUACACCAGAAGGUUGCUGCUGGGGGGGAAAAGGAAGAGGAAUAGGUGCCAUGUCUGCAGGCCAUCUGAUGAUGUCAAGACAAGCAUGACCUGUGCAAAAUGAGUUUGCACAAAACACAUUGUGAUGACAUGUCACUCGUGUGCUGUGUAGAUGUACAGACAGACACACACACACCUUGUUAUAUUGCUAUUGCUUGUUAUAUUGUUCAUUUCUGGUUCACAAACAGUGCAUGUCUGUCAAACUAAAUUUAAAUGUUAUAUUUCAAUUUUAUGUAAAACUAUUGUGUUUUAUAUGUUGGUCUUUCAAAAGUAAUAUAGUGGUGAAACAAUAAAAAAAGUUUGAAAAUGUUUUUUUUAAUGAAAAAUGAGUGAAUUAUCCUAAUUAAACUGAUAGCUGUGAGCGGUAAGGAACACGAUUGCAUUUAAUAUUGAUAGAAUAGU